Molecule: ribosomal RNA, 337 nt
Filed under: uncultured Pseudomonadota bacterium
Lineage: Bacteria; Pseudomonadati; Pseudomonadota
Description: bacterial SSU rRNA
Rfam family: Bacterial small subunit ribosomal RNA
Source: RNAcentral
AACGAACGCUGGCGGCGUGCCUAACACAUGCAAGUCGAACGUGAUUGGAAGCUUGCUUCCAUGAAAGUGGCGCACGGGUGAGUAACGCGUAGAUAAUCUACCUGAUGAUCCGGGAUAACACUUCGAAAGGGGUGCUAAUACCUGAUAAGCUCACGGGGUCUUCGGAUUCUGCGGGAAAAGGAGGGGACCUUUAUGGCCUUCCGUCAUCAGAUGAGUCUGCGUACCAUUAGCUAGUUGGUAGGGUAAAGGCCUACCAAGGCGACGAUGGUUAGCUGGUCUGAGAGGAUGAUCAGCCACACUGGAACUGAGACACGGUCCAGACUCCUACGGGUGGCAG